AUAGUUUAAAAUACAAAAACAAUAAUCAACAUUAUGCAUUAAAGCCCUCAACCAUGGUUUUCAAAACCACAUUAACAAUUCUUGAACAAUGUUUAAAACAUAUGAUUUUUGUGAACUAAUAAUAAAGGAAGAGUCACAUGCCUGAGUUACAAAGAUUCACAGAGAGAUUUUGAUCAUUAAGCCUCUAAAUGACCACCUUGAAGAAACCCUAGACUAAUGCUCCUAAGAAG
This 230-nucleotide long non-coding RNA is filed under the name Capsicum annuum. RNAcentral describes it as "long non-coding RNA (CANN_LNC012588)". The record is from RNAcentral. Lineage: Eukaryota; Viridiplantae; Streptophyta; Magnoliopsida; Solanales; Solanaceae.